AAAUAGAUAUAGGAAGAUGUGGUGUGAGUGCAAAUGUCCAGUUGUACAAAUAAAUUCAACCUUUAAUUCAUUAGGUCAAUUUUUGAUUGAUUUCCAUAUGUCUUUUGUUAAAUGUGUUUCGGAUGAGGUCGCUAUCCAUUUAGUUCAAUCUCAAAUUAAAGUUCUAGUUUAUAUUCAGAUUUAUUUGGUAUGAAAAAGGGGAACGGCAGACAAAUAUCAUGAAAAAAGUAAUUAAAAAAAUAUCAAUAAUUCGGAAAUAAGAGGGAUAUCCCCACACCACUUAAUCCGGCC
Molecule: long non-coding RNA, 291 nt
Filed under: Mytilus galloprovincialis (Mediterranean mussel)
Lineage: Eukaryota; Metazoa; Mollusca; Bivalvia; Mytilida; Mytilidae
Source: RNAcentral